UACCAGACUCCUACGGGAGGCAGCAGUGAGGAAUAUUGGUCAAUGGGCUUACGCCUGAACCAGCCAAGUCGCGUGAGGGAAGACGGUCCUAUGGAUUGUAAACCUCUUUAGGCGGGGAGCAAUGCCGGGCACGUGUGCCCGGAGGGAGAGUACCCGCAGAAUAAGCAUCGGCUAACUCCGUGCCAGCAGCCGCGGUAAUACGGAGGAUGCGAGCGUUAUCCGGAUUUAUUGGGUUUAAAGGGUGCGUAGGCGGAAGGCCAAGUCAGGGGUAAAAUCGCGGGGCUCAACCUCGCUCCGCCGUUGAAACUGGCGUUCUUGAGUGGGCGAGAAGUAUGCGGAAUGCGUGGUGUAGCGGUGAAAUGCAUAGAUAUCACGCAGAACUCCGAUUGCGACGGCAGCAUACCGGCGCCCAACUGACGCUGAAGCACGAAAGCGUGGGUAUCGAACAGGAUUAGAUACCCGAGUA
RNAcentral lists this ribosomal RNA (466 nucleotides) under uncultured bacterium. RNAcentral describes it as "bacterial SSU rRNA". It matches the Rfam family "Bacterial small subunit ribosomal RNA", at positions 329 to 792 of the family's 1533-position model. The record is from RNAcentral.